Long non-coding RNA from Erigeron canadensis, 459 nucleotides. RefSeq lists it as uncharacterized. The record is from RefSeq and is a predicted model, not a curated record. The transcript is spliced from 2 exons. Lineage: Eukaryota; Viridiplantae; Streptophyta; Magnoliopsida; Asterales; Asteraceae.
UUGCUGACUAAAAUAUUGAGAAUAUAUAUGGCUUACGAAUCUGUCUAUACUAAAGGUGAAUGAUAUUGGAAAGUUUUAUAGAGACAAGGGUGUAGCUGUUGACGUUAUCGACUUCUAUACAGGUGAACCACCCGAAUAUUCUUUGUCUCCGUUCCAAUAUGGAAGAAGGGAGCUUAUGGCGCUCAUUGAAAGCUGCAAUGGUGAUGACAAUGACAACAACCAUGUUGGAUCAACACGUUCUAUUUGUGAUGCCCUAUCUGAGUCCCCUUUAUAAUUAAAACUAACUCCCUGUCAGUCCGAGGAACAGAUGAUGAAUGUUGAUGUUAAAAAGAGAGCUGCUGGAGUAGAAAUGCACUGUUAAUUGCUCUGCUGAAUUGGUUGUGUUUGUGUGUUCAGCAGAUCAUAAUAUGUGAAUGACUUAUUAUUACAGUUAAGCAGCAAUAAAGGAACCUUAUCCCA